Molecule: long non-coding RNA, 4489 nt
Filed under: Sus scrofa (pig)
Lineage: Eukaryota; Metazoa; Chordata; Mammalia; Artiodactyla; Suidae
Description: lncRNA (ENSSSCG00045024794.1)
Source: RNAcentral
GGCCCGAGCUCCAGUUGAUGAAGUCACAUGGUUCCAGGGGCAGCAGCUGUUUCCCUGAAUACGAGGAUGGUGCUUUGAGACCAACCAGAAGUGAACUGUUUGUACAGAUUGAUGCUGCUGAAAUGCAAAGUGGAAACAUGUCAGGGGAAACAUGCACCCUGUCACCCCAGGAGAGAUGGCUCGGUGGUGAAUCAGACCCACAGGACAGUGGGGAACGCCAGAAGCUGGCCAGAGUUGCAGGAUUUUCACACACGACGAACGGGAAGAUGUUUAAGACCUGAGGGCGGAGGAAGAGGUGGGAGAGAACAGCACAUGCCUGUAUACCCUGCUGUGGAAAGAACCAGAAAAGCUGAAAGAAAACCUGUGAGGCCAGAAGCUGGGAUGUGGGAAGGCUUGAGAAGGGUGCAGGAGUCUCCAGGAACCAAACUGGUGUCAUGUGGAGGAGGCCAUGUGGCAGAGAUCCGUGGUGGCCUCUGGUUGCUGAGGGCCUCCGUCCCACAACUGCAAGGAACUAGGUUCUGCCAACACCCAGCAAGCCUGGGAGAGGAUGCCAGACUCCAGGGAGAUCACAGACCUGGCAACACCUUGAUCGUGGCUGUUGAAUCUCUGAGCAGAGGACAGAGCUGAGCCAUGCCUCUGUCCCACAGAAACGGUUUCUUACCCAAGAGGCCGGAUGCAGUUCCCUGUGCUGCCCGACAGGGCUCCAUCCAUCACACAUCUGUUCUAAAUGUUAACAGUCUCCACCUACCAACCCCAAGCUCUCCAGCGAUUUUAGCACGCUGCUCCCUGUACACAGCAGGUGCUCAAAUAACUCUUUGUGGAAUGAAGCUGUCUUUCCUCUUGUCUUCAUGUCUCUGCCCCUAAACAGCUUGUCUGGUUCUCUAUGACCUCAGAGAGAACCCCUGAAGCCUUUUCAAAAGCCGACUGUGGCCAGCAGUGAAGAGAGACUGGAUGACAUCCGAUGAGUCGUGGGGACAGGGCAUGUGGAGCAGCAGGGCUAGAGGGUGGGUGGAGUUGAAUAUGCCCAGAUGUUGUUGUAGCAUCUGCUCCUGGUCAGCAUGGGGCAAGAACUGGGGUGGGGGGCUCAGCCUGAGAGUGUGACUCAAGUAGGCACUUACCUGAGUAAUGCAGCAAAUGGACAAGACAUCAUCUAAGGCUUCUUUUUCUUUUUGCCUUUUUUUUUAGGGCUGCAUAUGCAGCAUCUGGAGAUUCCCAGGCUAGGGGUUGAAUUGGAGCUGCAGCUGCUGGCCUAUGCCACAGCCACAGCAAUGCCAGAUCCAAGCCAUGUCUGCGACCUACACCACAGCUCACAGCAGCGCCAGAUCCUUAACCCAGUGAGCGAGGCCGGGGAUCGAACUUGCAUCCUCAUGGAUCCUAAUCAGGUUCAUUAACUGCUGAGCUAUGAAGGGAACUCCUAAGGCUUCUUUCUUCUUUUUUUUUCUUUUCUUUCCAGCAAGGGGGAAAGAUGUUUCUUUCAAACUCAACUGAUAGGGUUUCAGCCACACGCAGAACCGGGUUUUCAGUUGCUUCUCACACUUCAUAUAGCAGCUGGUUGGGAAAUAAAACAUCUUCCAUUUAGAUAAAUAAGCAAAAAAAAGUCAGAAAAUUAAUAACCAGAAAGACACAUGUUAUUACCCUAUUUCUGAAACAAAACAAAGCCGUGUCAGAGGCAGGCCUCUGUGGCUGAGAUUGUGGGGAGGGAGGGGCUGGGGGCAUGGCAGAGGAAGCCCUGGGUGAUGGCUGGGGCGGGCCAGUGACCCCCAUCUCAUCUGCUUCUCAUCCGGAGCUCUGCUCACUGCCAGCCAGGCUGGGCUGGGCCUCCUGUCUCAGAGCCAGCUCUCCCGGAUCACUGUGACCUAAUCUCCCCCCAGGACUGUUUUCCCCUAAACGUGGCCCCUGUGAGGUCUCCCUUGCACAGAAGACUCUUGGGACUCUCCCCUGCCUGCACAUCCAAACACCUCUGCCCACAGCCUAUUUCUGGCACCAUUUCCCAGGCCCAGUUCCUGCCCAGGGCGAGUCACUGACAUUCAGGAGUGCUAUGUAGGUACCCGGGUCUGUGAAUGGUAGUUUACAUGUAUUGGCUCAUUUAAACCCAGGUGGAUGCUGGAUUUAUUAUACCCAUUUCACAGAUGAGAACAAUGAGGCACAGGGAGUGCUCAGCACCUACAGGUAAAGGCAGAGCUGAACUCCAGAACCCAAGCUUUGGGCUCUGGCUAGAGGUGGCCAGCUACUGGGUCAGGGGCAGAGGCCCCAAACAAAAUUGAAUAAAAAAUUACUAAAAAAUGUAAAAUGAGGGAAUCUCAAAAUACAAUGAAAAAACACUGAGUUAUAUUUGAGAGGAUUUCCUUUAAAAAUAUCAACACCUGAGUUCCUGUUGUGGCUCAGUGGGUUAAGAACCUGACAUAGUAUCCAUGAGGAUGCUGGUUCAAUCCCUGGCCUUGAUUAGUGGGUUAAGGAUCUGGCUUGCCACAAGCUGUUGCAGAUGCAGCUCAGACCUAGUGUUAUAGCUUUUGGCGCAGGCCAGCAGCUGCAUUUCCUAUUCAUCCCUUAGCUCGGGAACUUUCAUAUGCCACANAAAAAAAAAAAAAAAAAAAAAAAAAAAAAAAAUCAACACUUUGAAUAAACAAAAUCCCUUUGUGUAGUGAUGGUGCCAUAAAGAGAUUUAUAGGAGUUUUGUUUUUUUUUUUUUGCUUUUUAGAGCCACACCUGGGGUAUAUGGAAAUUCCCAGACUAGGGGUCCAAUCAGAGCUAUAGCUGCUGGCCCACAUCACAGCCACAUCAGAGCCAUUGCAACUCCGUACCUGAGCCGUGUCUGCGACCUUCACCACAGCUCACGGCAAUGCCAGAUCCUUAACUCACUGAGUGAGGCCAGGGAUCGAACCUGCAACCUCACCAUUCCUAGUCUGAUUUGUUUCCACUGCGCUGCUAUGAGAACUCCUGAAUUGCCUAAUUUUUUUUAAUGUUACUGGUUAUAAAUGCUGGUUACUACAAGUCAGCACUUCCACCCCUAAGAGGUAUGAUUGCCAUCAAGUGUAUGGAAAUGCUGCCUUCUGAGCUUGUGCCUUGUGGUCAGGGAAGGCUCUGGCACAACACCUAACUCAGCAUUAAAGAUACGGAGUUCCCAUCAUGGCUCAGUGGUUAACGACUCUGACUAGGAACCAUGAGGUUGCGGGUUCGAUUCCUGGCCUUGCUCAGUGGGUCAACUAUCCGGCAUUGCCGUGAGCUGUGGUGUAGGUUGCAGACCCGGCUCUGAUCCUGCGUUGCUGUGGCUCUGGCGUAGGACAGUGGCUAUAGCUCCGAUUCUUUGACCCCUAGCCUGGUGAACCUCCAUAUGCCGUGGGAGCGGCCCAAGAAAUGGCAAAAAGACAUAAAGAAAAAAAAGACAAACAAGUACAAGGCAGGCAUUCCCGUCGUAGCUCAACAGUAACGAACCUGACUAGACUCCAUGAGGACGUGGGUUCGAUCCCUGGCCUUGUUCAGUGGAUUGAGGAUGUGGUGUUGCUGUGGCUGUGGUGUAGGCCAGCAGCUGCAGCUCUCAUUCAACCCCCAGCAUGGGAACUUCCAUCUGCUGCAGGUGCAGCCCUAAAACACAAAACAAAGCAAACAACAACCAACACCACAAACUAAGUACAAGGCAAAGCAAAUACGUCUGCAAGGCCUACGCAACAGUGUGACCCUGGACUGCACGUGGUUCAAGGAUGAAGGUCUCCAGUGGCGGCCUAGGACCAUGGACUUGGAAAGAAGCACACUUUUAGUUUUUGCGUUGUUCCCUCUCACCUUCGCAGCUGCUGGCUUCUUAAUCACACUGUUUGCUCUGUAACCAUUUUCUUGUGGAGUCCCUGGCUUUAUCUGACCCCCGUGACCUUGAUUGAGAAAACCUGAUGCUGAGAUGCUUUUCCUCAGAUGUGGGUUGAGCAGGUGAGGGUCUGCUGGGUUUUAUAAUGAACUUCAAUCCCUCAGGGCUGGAGUCUAUUUGGAAAACAAUCCUGUCUGUGACUGGCCGGAGAGGGGCUUACUUUUAGAAAAUACCAGUGAACGUGUGUCUGAGCAGCCAGUCUGCUAGGCUGAAUCCGCCCUCGCUGGCUAGAGUUGGGGUGCAAAUUCUGCCUACACCAAGCACUGCCAGCCCCUGUCACCAAGGCAGAGCAACUGUGCUUGGCCCAUAGUCACUUCAGCCACGGCCACCCUCUUCUCUGAAUGAAGCACAACGGAGAGCCAGUCACUGGCCUGAGAUCAGGUGGCUGUUUAGCCUCAGACCCAAGAUUUGCCCCCAGCCGACUUGGUUAGGACUCAGGUUCAUCACCUCUGAGCUGCGCCCAAGAUCUCAGCCCCUGUAACGGGAGGAUGGCAAGUCUGCUUAGGGGAACGCAUGGGUGACAUCUGGAAGGACGUGGUGACGGGGUGAACAUCUGGGAAAAGGUGACAGGCAUGUCGGUGACGUCCCAGGAUGUACUCAGGUUCAACUGCAUGAGACCCAUCGCACAGAGGG